ACGUUCAUCAGUCAUCUACAAGAGUAGCUGGGAAUAUUAGUAUCUAUACAGCUACUAAUCUAAAUCUACAAGAGAAUAGAGAAUAUUAUAGUACUGUACUAGCUUAUAAUAAAGCAGGAUUAUUGAGCUGGGCCAAUAGUGAUGGAAUAUUAAUAGACAAUACAACUCCCACUUCCGGUAUUAUACAUGAUGGUAAUGAUAUCUAUGAUAAAGAUUACCAAUACUCUACAACAGUUAUAUCCUCAUCAUGGUAUGGUUUUACUGAUAGUGGUACUGGUAUAGUGAAAUAUUACUGGUGUAUUGGUACUGAUAUUAGUACUACAGAUUGUAAUAUACACGACUGGAAGAAUGUAGGAUUAAAUACUAGAGUGUCUGUAAACCUAACCUCACCUUUAAAUCAUGGUAUGAAAAUUUAUAAUAAAGUGUAUGCUGUAGAUGGGAGUGGGUUAAAAUCUGAUGUAGCAGUGUCUGAUGGUACUACAAUUGAUACCACGCCCCCAGUACCGGUUGAUAUAGAUUAUAUUGGAGAAAAUCUCAUCGCCAAUCCAUCAUUUGAAGAAGGCGUGACAGAAUCAAAUAAGGAAUGUGAUGACCAACCACCAGCUCCUUGGUAUAUUGACUCCACCUCGUGUAUUAAAAUCAUCCAAUCACCACCUUCCGUUUCAAAAGAGGGUGGAGCCUAUAUUAAAGUGAAAGGUCAUAUUCAACAAACAGUUUUUUAUUUAAACACCCAAAGUGCUUACCAUGUUAUAGUACAUGUUGGAUAUCCACAUGAUGUUAGCAUUCAGCAUGACAACGUGGAAGGUUUCGUGCAAUUCGGACAAGAAAUUCACACUUUCAGCCUUGACCCAGAACGAUGUCAGGGGAUAUGUGACAUCGACCAACAGCCAUUAAUAUUAUGGAAUAAAUUUACUUAUGUAUUCCAUCCAAGAGAAGCAAGAGAAGUGAUAAGAAUUGGUACAAGUAAAUUACAUAUGAUAUUAGCUGUAGAUGAUGUAUAUGUACAACAAGUUAAUUAUAUAGAUAUAACAAGUGACUCUAAUCAUUUAAUACACCAUACAGUGUUUAGACCUUAUUGGUCAUCUCUUCAUCUUACCUGGCAUUUUAAAGAUGAUCAAAGUCCUAUUACAGAUUAUCAAUGGGCACUAGGAACUGUGCAAGGUGGAACCCAGAUUCGGGCGUUCACAAGUGUUGGCAGAAAUCAACAAGCUACAGCAUCCGGUCUAAAAUUAGCCCAUAAUACACUACUUUAUCUGACUGUGAUGUCAACCAAUGGCGUC
Long non-coding RNA from Patella vulgata (common limpet), 1280 nucleotides. RefSeq lists it as uncharacterized. Lineage: Eukaryota; Metazoa; Mollusca; Gastropoda; Patellidae. The transcript has 4 exons. The record is from RefSeq and is a predicted model, not a curated record.